UGGACACUUCCCCUGAGGUUCCCAUCUCUCUCAAUGGGGGCAUGGACACUUCCCCUGAGGUUCCCAUCUCUCUCAAUGGGGGCAUGGACACUUCCCCUGAGGUUCCCAUCUCUCUCAAUGGGGGCAUGGACACUUCCCCUGAGGUUCCCAUCUCUCUCAAUGGGGGCAUGGACACUUCCCCUGAGGUUCCCAUCUCUCUCAAUGGGGGCAUGGACACUUCCCCUGAGGUUCCC
Molecule: long non-coding RNA, 233 nt
Organism: Oncorhynchus keta (chum salmon)
Lineage: Eukaryota; Metazoa; Chordata; Actinopteri; Salmoniformes; Salmonidae
Exons: 3
Source: RefSeq, a predicted model, not a curated record